GCCUUUAAUACAGAGAUUUUUGUUAUAAAAUUUGAAACAUAAAUUACUCACAUGAUUUUCUAUGAUGUACUAGUGUUUAUUUUUUACAAAAAGUUCUAAGCAACCUGUAAAUUCCAAAACACCUUGAACUGAGUCACUAAAGUUGAGCGCACCCUAAAAGGUGUACUUGAUUUGGUCCAUAUUAAUAUUUGUUUUAACCAAUAACUACAUUAAUAAACUUGUUUUAUGGAAAUCAAUGCUAGCACUGCAUGCAAUACCUAAUCCUAUAUCUAUCAGUCAUCAAAUUGCCAAAUAUGAGAGUACAAGGAUAAAGGCUGUGGAUUUUCUAUAUAAUUUCCAUAUGUUAAUCAUUGAAUCAACACAAGGGUACAUAAUCCUUAAGUGAAUUAAGAGCAGUUUGGUAAGUUUUUUUUUCAUGCAGCAGGAAAGAAACACAGAAAUUAUAGAGUGGAAGCCAAGUAUGAUGAAGUUUAUGUUUACAGCCAUCAC
This 489-nucleotide long non-coding RNA is filed under the name Mytilus galloprovincialis (Mediterranean mussel). The record is from RNAcentral. Lineage: Eukaryota; Metazoa; Mollusca; Bivalvia; Mytilida; Mytilidae.